ACCCUAAGAAUUCAGUAUCCUUAGUUAACAAUUCAGUACCUUUGGUUAACUGAAAGUGGGGCCCAUCCGAUUAAAAAAAUGCGCGGGUUAGAAUUUUUUUUACCCUUUCUUAUUCUUUAUUCCCCCUUUUUGCCCACUUUAUUGUUUCCAUUUCUGGAAUAUAGUUGCGCAUUUGGUGAAGAGCACGAGCAAGGUUGGGGGCGAUUCUGGGGAAAACGACAGUAAACGCCGCCAUUUUUUUGAGCGUUGUUUUUACCCGGCUCAUGGUACACCCGAGUGUACAAAUCAAUGAUUAGGGCCUGUUCUCAUACGUUGAAAUUCAGUUCAGUUAAGUUCAGUUCAGUUCAGCUCCUAAUUUCCUUCUCUUAUAAAAUAUUCAGUUCAGUUCAUUUCAGUCAAUGAGAACAUACCCUUAGUCAAAAUAAUCCUUGUUUACCUUUUUUUUUUUUUUUUUUGACUCAAAUCCUUGUUUACCUCUUUUGAAGUAAGAAUGAUCCUUCCUUACAAAAAAAAAAAAAAAGAAUCAUCCUCGACCGUUGAUAAUGUUUAGAUCUGACGAUUCAAAUACUCUUCCUCCUGCCUCUUCACUUUUCUUCCUGUUCCAAUGUUAAACCUCCUUUCUCCUCCAUUGAAGCUACUCUAAAACCUCCAUUAAAGCGGUUUAUGAGCUUUCUCUCCUCCUAAAUUCUCCAUUAAAAGUGGCUCCUGAGAUUUUUGCCCACCAAAGAAGCAGCUUCUUAGGGUUUUGCGUUGAUAGAAAUUAAGCCAUAAGAAGCUUGGAGCUUUUAACUGUUACACCGCGCUUCUUUCUCUCUUUCUCCAUUACAUGGUCUUUGAAUUCUCCAUUGAAGUGGCUUCUGAGCGCUCUCUCGUCCCUUGAAGCAGCACCGAGUCGUGGGAAGCUUUUCAGAUAUGCAUUUCCUUACAUGGGGAAGAUUAUAAUUUUGAUCGUGUGGAAUCUGAUUUACGUUACGGGUUUGUAAUGGACUGUUUUUUUACCUAUUACAGGGUAUUUUAUAAAAUUUUUACCUAUUCAUUCCAGGAGAUGAUGAAUAAUAUAAACUUGGGAAAAUUGGGUAAUUAUGAAUAAUAAUGUUACUUAUUUGUUUAUGUAGGUUUUGUUUGUAUAAAAAUGGGAUGCUUUAGGAUGCCCUUGUUGCCUUUAACAAGGGGUUAAGUAAGUCUGAAAUAGAUUCGUUUAUAAAAGCUGCCCUAGAGAGUGGUAUCUAUUUUACAUCAAAUGAACUGGAAGAGAAAGAGAAAGAUAAAGAGAAAGAUAAAGCAGAAGCUGUGGAAAAUGUUGUGCAUAGAAAGAGCAAGUUAUGCUUGGAAUAGGAUACAAGGAACCUGAGUAAUGACAGGUAUAUAUGUAAGGAACUUGAGCAAUAUAGGAUAAGCAAUAGAGGAACAAGAACAACGAUAAGUGUUAUGGUUGAU
This is a long non-coding RNA of Chenopodium quinoa (quinoa), 1437 nucleotides long. RefSeq lists it as uncharacterized. Lineage: Eukaryota; Viridiplantae; Streptophyta; Magnoliopsida; Caryophyllales; Amaranthaceae. The transcript is spliced from 5 exons. The record is from RefSeq and is a predicted model, not a curated record.